This 606-nucleotide ribosomal RNA is filed under the name uncultured bacterium. RNAcentral's name for it is "bacterial SSU rRNA". It matches the Rfam family "Bacterial small subunit ribosomal RNA", at positions 257 to 862 of the family's 1533-position model. The record is from RNAcentral.
AUAAAGGCUCACCAAGGCUACGAUGUUUAGGGGGUCUGAGAGGAUGAUCCCCCACACUGGUACUGAGACACGGACCAGACUCCUACGGGAGGCAGCAGUAGGGAAUAUUGGGCAAUGGGCGCAAGCCUGACCCAGCCAUGCCGCGUGCAGGAUGACAGCCUUACGGGUUGUAAACUGCUUUUAUACGGGAAAAAACCCUCUGACGUGUCAGAGGCUGAUGGUACCGUAAGAAUAAGCAUCGGCUAACUCCGUGCCAGCAGCCGCGGUAAUACGGAGGAUGCAAGCGUUAUCCGGAUUUACUGGGUUUAAAGGGUGCGCAGGCGGAACGACAAGUCAGUGGUGAAAUCUCCUGGCUUAACCAGGAAACUGCCAUUGAUACUAUCGUUCUUGAGUCCAGUUGAAGUAGGCGGAAUGUAGCAUGUAGCGGUGAAAUGCUUAGAUAUGCUACAGAACACCGAUAGCGAAGGCAGCUUACUAAACUGAAACUGACGCUCAUGCACGAAAGCGUGGGGAGCAAACAGGAUCAGAUACCCUGGUAGUCCACGCCCUAAACGAUGAUCACUCGUUGUUGGCAAUUAUAUCGUCAGCGACUAAGCGAAAGCAUUA